UACGUAGGAUGCAAGCGUUGUUCGGAAUUACUGGGCGUAAAGAGUACGUAGGCGGUCUGGCAAGUCUGAUAUUAAAGACUGGAGCUUAACUUCAGGACUGUAUCGGAAACUGCCAAACUAGAGGACUAUAGAGGAAGUCGGAAUUCUCAGUGUAGCGGUGAAAUGCGUAGAUAUUGGGAAGAACACCAGUGGCGAAAGCGGACUUCUGGGUAGUUACUGACGCUGAGGUACGAAAGCGUGGGGAGCAAACGGGAUUAGAUACCCCGGUAGUCCACGCUGUAAACGAUGGAUACUAGGUGUAGCCGGUCUCGACCCCGGCUGUGCCGUAGCUAACGCAAUAAGUAUCCCGCCUGGGGAGUAUGGCCGCAAGGUUGAA
RNAcentral lists this ribosomal RNA (376 nucleotides) under uncultured bacterium. RNAcentral describes it as "bacterial SSU rRNA". It matches the Rfam family "Bacterial small subunit ribosomal RNA", at positions 524 to 898 of the family's 1533-position model. The record is from RNAcentral.